This 11223-nucleotide long non-coding RNA is filed under the name Ananas comosus (pineapple). Its description in RNAcentral is "long non-coding RNA (ACOM_LNC036296)". The record is from RNAcentral. Lineage: Eukaryota; Viridiplantae; Streptophyta; Magnoliopsida; Poales; Bromeliaceae.
AUUGUAUGCAUGUAGCAUUAUGAAUGGAUUGCAUGCUAGUUGAUAAUGGCAUAUUAGCAUUAUGAAGAUGUAUACUAUAGAUGUAUAUAUAUGUUGGCUUUAUAGAACAUAUGUGCUAGAUGAAAUGAAUGUUAACCUAUAGUUAAUUAUGGAGAUUAUGAGGCAUUGGCAUCUAAACUAGUGUCGUUAACCUAGAUAGAUCGGUAGGCAUUAACAUAAUUGUUGUUAAAACAUAGGUUGACAUUAAACCUGUGUUGUGGAAACUAGAGUUGAUUAGAACCUAGUGAUGGCAUCGAGAUUUAGUGCGGUUGAGACACUUGACAUGGACCUAGGAUAGUGAGAUUAUCAAGUGAGGGUUAACCUAGUUUGACAGGGUAUCCUCAGUUGGGAGGAUUGGUCUACUCACAUAGUCUGUUUUGGGCUUGUGGCGGCGCUCCCACACAUGAGCAGUUGCACUCCUGAGUUUCACACGAGCUGGUAGGUAUGAGCGGGGUAGCUCACCGGGUGGGAUACGAGCGGGGUAGUCAUCACCAUUGGACUGCGGAAGUGAGUCGGCGGAGCGGGGAGUCUUACCUAGAGAUUUGAGCGGGGUAGCUCUUGACCUAUGAGAUUAAGGUUAGAGUCGGGGCGAAGAGCGGGGUAGCUCUUGCCCUUAGAGCAUUGGUUAUGAGUUGAGCGAGGAGCGGGGUAGCUCUUCACCUAUAGGACUUGAAUCUAAGUUGGGUAGAGCGGUAGCUCUUUACCUUAUAGUAUUGUAGGUUUUGAGACGGGUGAGACAAAGCAGGGUAGCUCUUCCCUAUGUGGUUCGAGAUCUUAGGCGGGGUAGCCUAACGGAUUGGGUAAUACAUGAAUUGGAUAAGUGGAUUUGCAUCAUACAUGAUUCAGACAUAGUACACUGCAUAACUAUGUUAUAGUUGUAAUUAUUUCAUUGUUAAAGCAUACUAGCACUGUAAACUGUAUUGCAUGCAUUCUUUGCAUUUGGUGGCAUGUAAUAUAGUAGAGUUUAUUUCACUAUAUUAUUCUAUUCUCAUCUAUCUCUGUGCCAGCCUACGACCUAGUGGGAAGAUCGGCGGAGUCGCGGACCGAACCCACUGGGAACUAUAUUUAUAUAGUUCUCACCCCGUGUGGUUUUUGGGUUACAGGUACACGUGAGAGCGGACCGACAGGUGAUUGUGGUAAAGCUUAGCGCCUAGAGUAGGGCAUACCUACCUAUUUUGCAUUAGAUUACCUAUACUUUUGAGAGUAGAUGAUGUAUGGUGUGGAUAUUUUGGAAGUUAAGUUGUGUAAACUUUAUGUUUAUAUUUUGAAAGCUUAAAUGUAAUCAAGUUGAUUAGAAGUUGAAUGGAUUUAAUUGUGAUGCCAAAUGUGAUGUAAUUAGUUUAGUUUAUAUUCUUUUUUAUUCAUUGUAUGGUUCUUUGUGAUGCUUCUUCUCAUUGUUCUUCACCACGUUGUGCUCAUCGCUAGUUGUUAAUUAAUUGUGUAUAUAUAUUCAAGUGUUUCCUGGGAACUUGUUGUACACAAUCUCGUCGCUUUAGCCUUGGGCGGACAGGGGAGGUGCUGUCCGUUCGGCGGUCCACCCGGUAUGCCCGAACCGUGCCAAAUUGGUAGUGGUUUCGGGGUGGGGUGUGACAGUUGUGGUAUCAGAGCGAGUUAAGAGCAAGCAAAGAGAGAGUCUAGGACUGACCUAGGAGACCCUAGGAUGGAAACCUUAAGGCUAUAGGUGCGUGAGAGACGUGAACCUAUGAGUUGUGGCGAAAGGAUUAUGGAUUGGGUUGUGUCGUGAACCUCUAAAACGAAUGUUAGAGGUAGACUCAAGGUGUGGUGUAUUCUCAACCGAGGGUGUUCAUGUUGGGUGCACACAACAUGAAGCCGGGUGAUGAGAAUAGACGCCCUUGCCCGAUUUGAGUCGCGUUGUCUAGUAAUCGCGCGAGUUUAGCGGGUUAAGAUGAUUAACCAGAUGUUUGCGUUUCAGGAGCUGAUGUCCCCGAGACGCUACAGGUUAAGAUCCUCGGGAUCCAUAUCUUACAAGUGGUAUCAGAGCGGGUAUAGGUUGUAAAACAUGGCCGAGGGCGGUAGCAUCAAUCGACCCCCUCUCUUCGAUGGCACUAAUUACGCAUAUUGGAAAGUCCGUAUGAGGGCGUUUCUUAUUGCCAUCGACGAGCGGGUAUGGCAAGCCGUUGAAUUCGGGUGGAAACAUCCUACCGAAGUUGUCGAUAAUGUUACCGGUCUGAAACCUAGAAAUAAGUGGACGAAAGAGGAAAACGAAUUAUCUUCGUACAAUGGGAAGGGUAUCAAUGCUCUAUCUAAUGCUUUAAAUCAAACUGAAUUUUCUCGCGUCUCGGCGUGUGAAACCGCCAAAGAGAUUUGGGACACUUUGCAAGUUACACACGAGGGUACAAGCUUGGUUAAGAUUCAAAAAUUGCAAAUGCUUACUAGUAGAUUUGAUUCCAUUCGUAUGGAAGAACAUGAAUCUUUUAUCGAGUACUAUACUCGUUUGCAGGACAUUGUAAACACGUGUGCUAACUUGGGCGAGAAAAUUUCCGAUUCCAAAAUUGUUCGAAAAAUUUUGAGAACCCUUCCCGAACGAUUUCGUCCUAAGGUUGCGGCUAUUGAAACGGUCAAACAUCCUGAUGAACUCAAGGUAGAAGAAUUAGUAGGUGCACUUCAAACUUAUGAAAUGACUUUUCCUUCUAAUUCGUCUUCUUCCAAGUCUUCUUCUAAAGCUUCAGGGAUGGCUCUAAAAUCAACAAAAGGAGAUGUCACUUCAGCUUCUUCAGAUUCGGAGUCGAAGCAAACAUUGGAGGAGUUUGAAAAGCAACUAGCGCUACUAACGAAGAAGUUCCGUCGGAACUUUAGAAAGAAGUUCCCUCCCAAGUCUACUUCCUCCAAGACAAGCAAAUCUAAAGGGGGAUCGUCUUCUUCUUCCUCAUCAAAAUUCAGAAAAUCGAAAAACUUUCAAAAGGACUCUACAAAAGAGAAGAAAAGCAAUGAAGGUCAAAUUCAAUGCUACAAGUGUGUGGGGGCUGUCAAUUGGGGAAACAAACUAGGUCCGCACAUAAGAAUUUGAACCACUUAGGAACAUCUAAACUUUAGAAUUACUUCACAUGGAUUUGAUGGGACCAUUUAGGAUUCAAAGUUUGGGUGGAAAAUGUUAUAUCUUGCUCAUUGUUGAUGACUUUACUCGUUUUGUAUGGAGUGCCUUCUUACGUGAAAAAGCUGAUACUUUUGAUUCUUUCUCUGAGAUUUGUCUCCGUCUUAUGAAUGAGCGUAAUGAUAAAAUUGUACGUAUUCGAAGUGAUCAAGGGGGAGAAUUCAUAAAUUCAAAAUUUGUUGAUUUCUGUGUUUCAAAUGGCAUUAAACAUGAAUUCUCGGCUCCUUACACACCCCAACAAAAUGGAGUGGUUGAACGCAAGAAUCGGGUUGUACAGGAGAUGGCUCGUGUUAUGCUUCAUAGUAAGAAAAUUGCUUUACACUUUUGGGCCGAAGCGGUUAACACAGCUGUCUAUGUUAUCAAUCGGAUCUAUGUGCGUCCGGAUACUUUGAAUACUCCGUAUGAACUUUGGCUUGGUAGGAAACCUAAUAUUAAAUACUUUCGUGUCUUCGGGAGUAAAUGUUUUAUCCUUCGGGAUCGUGAAAAUCUUGGAAAAUUUGACUCUCGAAGUGACGAAGGCAUCUUUCUUGGUUAUUCUACUACAAGUCGUGCUUACCGUGCAUACAAUUUACGAUCUAAGACGGUGAUAGAAUCUAUUAAUAUAAAAGUAGAUGAAGCUUCUUCUGUAAGUUCUUCUGUGAAUAGUUCUUCUAACUCUCUGAUGAAUGAUGAUGAUAAUGAUUCUCCGUUUGUAUUGCCUGUGAAUGAUGAUGUCUCUGCACUUGAUAAUUCCAUUGCAUCUUCUGAAAAUGUUGCAUCAAAUGAUUCAUCUGAGCCUCAAAACACCUCAUCUGAAAUCCCUAGCAUAUCUCCUGAGACUACACCCCUGACAGAGUCAAGAGAUCAUCCUUUAUCAAAUGUCAUUGGGGAUCCUACUGUUGGUGUGCGAACAAGAAGUCAGUUAUAAUGUGAAUUUGCUUGUUAUGUUUCUUUGAUCGAGCCAAAGAAUAUCGACGAACCUCUACGUGAUGAAUAUUGGAUAAAUGCCAUGCAAGAAGAACUUGGUCAAUUUGUCCGCAAUGAUGUAUGGGAAUUAGUGCCACGUCCUGAGCAACAACACAUAAUAGGUACCAAAUGAAUCUUUAAGAAUAAGAAAAAUGAGGAUAGUACUAUUGUUCGGAACAAAGCGAGACUUGUUGCUCAGGGGUACUCACAAAUUGAGGGAAUAGACUUUGAUGAAACAUUCGCCCCAGUUGCCCGUCUUGAAUCAAUGCGUAUUUUGUUCGCGAUUGCCUGUCAUUUUAAAAUCACUCUUUUUCAAAUGGAUGUUAAAAGUGCAUUUCUAAACGAAUUUUUAAAAGAGGAAGUUUAUGUUGAACAACCAAAAGGUUUUAUAGACUCAAAAUUUUCAAAUCAUGUUUUUCGACUGAAAAAGGCACUUUAUGGACUAAAACAGGCUCCACGAGCAUGGUAUGAACGAUUGAUAAAAUAUCUUUUGGAAAAGGGCUACAACCGAGGGGGAGCGGACAGAACUCUCUUUGUAAAACACUUAGGCCCCGUUUGGUUGGGGGGAUAAGCGGGGAUAACGAAAGUUAUCUCCGCUAUUCCGCCAAACGGGGUGAAAUUUGGCCGGGAUAUUUUAUCCUGGUCAAACCUUGCUAUUCCCGGUUAUCCCGGAAUAGCAAGGAAUUUGCUAUUCCACCAUUUUGGUGGAAUAGCACUAUUCCAAUGCUUAAUUUCAAACUUAAUUAAAAUUAUAAAUUGAAUUAAAACUAAAUUAUAUAAAUAUAAUAUGUUAUAUAUUAUAAUACAAUAUUUUUAUUAUAAAAUUAUUAAUUAUACUAUAUUAAUACAUAUUAUUUAUAUUUAAAUAUUAUAAUAAAAUUUAUAAUAAAUUAUAUUUAAAUAUUAUAAUAAAUUCUUUUUAUUAAAUUUAAGUUUAAGUAGAAUUUUAAAAAAAUUUAUAAAUUUAUUAUAAUAAAUAGUUUUUAUUAAUUGUUCCCACCCCUAUUCUUAUUUUAAAAAUUUAAAAAUUAAAAAUUUAAUUUUUUAAAAUUUAUAUAUUAUAAUACAUUAUUUUUAUUAUAAAAUUAUUAAUUGUACUAUAUUAAUAAUUAUUAUUUAUAUUUAAAUAUUAUAAUAAAAUUUAUAGUAAAUUAUAUUUAAAUAUUAUAAUAAAUAAUUGUUCCCAUCCCUAUUUUUAUUUUAAAAUUUUAAAAAUUAAAAAUUUAAAUUGUUAAAAUUUAUAAUUUAUAAUCUCAAAAUUAAAGUUUAUAAUUUUAAAUUUUAAAUUUUAAAAUUAAAUUUUGAUAUUUUAAUUUUGAAAUUUAAAAUUUUAUAUUUUAUAUUUUUCAAAUUUAAAUUUGAUCUUAAAUUUAAAGUUUGCAAUUUAAAAUUUAAAAUUUAAAAUUUUGAAUUUAAAAUUUGAGAUUUUAAAUUUCAAAAUUUGAAAUUUCAAAGUUAAAAUUUUAAAUUUAAAAAUAUAUAUUUAAAAUUUUAAAAAUUUAAAUUCAAAUAUAAUAAGAGGAUAAUAUGAUUAUUUUUAUUUAUAAAACCCACUAUCUUUCUUAUUCCAUCUUAUCUAACCAAACGCUAUUUUUUUUAUUCACAGGAAUAACCCAAUUUUCAUCCAAACGCAAAAUUGAUCUAAUCCCCGCUUAUAUCUCAAUUUAUACCUAUCCCUGGAAUAGCCACUUUUUCCUUAUCCUCGAACCAAACGAUAAGAAUGAUUUCAUUGUGGCACAAAUUUAUGUUGAUGACAUAGUCUUUGGAGCAACUAAAGAUAAGGAUGCUAGUGAUUUUGCAAAAUUAAUGAUAAGCGAGUUUGAGAUGUUGAUGAUGGGGAGCUUAAUUAUUUUCUCGGACUUCAAGUUAAGCAAACUAAAGAUAGAAUUCACUUGUGUCAAUCCAAAUAUGCAAAAGAAUUGGUUAAGAUAUUUGGAUUGCACAAUGCAAAGGAUUUUGACACUCCAAUGGGUACAAGCAAUAAAGGACUUGGAUUGAGUUUGGAAUGACAGAGCGUGGAUGAGAAACAAUACAGAAGCAUGAUUGGUAGCCUAUUGUACUUGACUGCGAGCAGACCAGAUAUUGCUUUUAGUGUUGGAAUUUGUGCUCGUUAUCAAGUUAACCCUAAGAAAGUACAUCUGAAAGCGGUUAAAAGAAUCAUUCGAUACGUUAAAGGUACAACCACGUAUGGCCUCUGGUAUCCUAUGGGAACAUCUCUUGAUCUAAUCGGCUACUCUGAUGCUGACUGGGCAGGCUCCGCAGCUGAUCGGAAAAGUACUAGUGGAGCUUGUUUUUACAUUGGACACUGUCUGGUUGCUUGGCACAGUAAGAAACAAAACUGUAUAGCUCUUUCCACUGCAGAAGCUGAAUACAUUACGGCCGGGAGUUGUUCUACUCAAUUGAUUUGGAUGAAGAGUUUACUGAGCGACUAUCGAAUCCCUUCCACCACUCUUACUAUUUUGUGUGACAACACAAGUGCAAUUAAUAUUUCUAAAAACCCUAUUUUACAUUCACGAACAAAAUAUAUUGAACUAAGAUAUCAUUUUUUAAGAGAACUGGUUGAAUCAAACAUCCUACAACUUGAAUAUAUUUCGACUGAAAAUCAACUUGCAGAUAUUUUAACCAAACCUUUGGAUCAAUAACGUUUUCUGCAUUUAAGAAAGGCUAUUGGUAUGAAUCCUUCACUCUAGAUAUAUUCUAUUUGGCCAUAGAUCAUGUGCAUGUUGCAUAUUUAUGUGUACGGUUUUCGAUGUUUUCUGAUUAUGUUUGAGAGAUGAUUGAAUUUCUUGAAUAUUGUUGCUGUUUUUGGGAGAUGAUUUGGUCUGUGACUUUAAUUAUUUCAUAUUUAAUUUUUGAUUGAUCACUGUCAGGGUUGUUCUCUAUUGGCAUAUUUUCUUUGACCGAUCAAAUCAUUGAAAUUCUGUUUAGCAUAUUGAAUCAAAUUCAACACCUCAUGCUUUGAACUUUGAAUAUUGCAAUUGUUUGUUUGAUUAUUAGUUUUGAGAUGAAUAACUUUUUCUCUAUUUUUGAAAUUGCAAUAAUAUUUUUGACUUGAGGGUUGCACUAAUUUAGGGGGAGUCUUUUCGAUUUUGGUGAUGAAAGUUUCUGAAAGUCAAGAUGUGGAAAGAGUUACAUCCCUACUGGGAGUGUGAAAACUACCACCACAUGGAGGAAAGAGCUACCACCCCGGUCGUCCGGUCAGUGUGUGCAGCUACCACAUGUUGAUUAAAGUAUCUUUAUAAGACAAAAGGACAGUAUCUUUCCGAGAGAAAAAAAAUUAAAUAUGCUCAAAGAGCUAUACAUCUUGUAGGUGGUAUAAGGUGGAAUGUCAAUAAAAGGAUGCUCUAAGAGCCACUCCUGUCUCAAAUAUUGUGCAUAACUCAUUUUGAACAUAUUAUUUUAAUUUCAUGAUUCUGAGAAUUAUUUAUACAUUUUCUUUAACAAAUAUGAUGAUAGAACAAUACAAUUAAUUCCUAGAUCAUGCAUGAUGUGUAGAUUUUUAUUUUAUAUGUAUCUAAAAUUUUCAUUGAUUAUCGGGUCAACAAUUUUGCCAAAUUGAAUAUCUUUGAUAUUGAUUUUUCAAAUUUUAUUUAUGAAAUUUUAUUUGAAGUUGUUGGGAUUGGAAAUUGGUUAUUUUUGAUGAUUGCACAUUGUGGAAUGACUUAUAAUUUUUCUGGAUUUUUCGGGCUUCUUUUAAAAUUUUUAAAGAAAAUUCAGGUUCUGGGACCGGUCCCAGGCAGGAGAGACCGGUCCCUCCGUCAAACCCGAUAAAGGGUUUUUCGCACGAUCUGUUUUGUACGCGUUUCUUUUUUCUCCUGCUUUCCUCCCUGGCGCUUCUCUUGUCUCCAGAUCAGGGUUUCCUCACGUUUCUCCUUGGUUUGCACUGAUUUUAGGUAUGAUUUUCGGAUUUUGUUGCUUUUAUGUCAUAUACUCCAAAAAUGUGUUUUGAUUCAGAUUUUCUUGAUGAUUCUUCUAGAGAUCUUGCUGCUUAUGCAUUUUUUUUUGCUUCGAUCUUGUUCUUAGAACUGUUGUUUUCAUCUUUUCUUGUAUUUCUUCAUCUUUUCGGUUCAUUUUUGUAGGUUUCUCAUGAUCAAAAUUUUAUUUUUCAAAAUUUCUGUGAAAAAUUUAUUUUUGGCUGAUUUUGGUGCAUGAUUUGUUCAUGUUUUUCAUGAUCUUGAGGCCUCUAGGAUUAUCUAGCAUUUAUAUAUCAAUUUGCUAAAAAUUUUUGGAAUAAAAAAAAUUUUGUUUCAUAUAUAAAAUUCAUUAUGUUUAACAGGUGAUUUUCGAAAAUGUACUUGUGGCUUUUUGUGCUUGUGGUCCUUAUGGCUGGGGGUGGUCGCGGUAGCAAACGACAGCGCUCCUUGGCUAAACGGCCGGUUGAGCAUCAACCGGAAGAUGAAGGGAGUGAAUAUGCUCCAGGUGACGAAUCUGAGGAGGACGAGCCGGACUGGGAGGCUUUUUCUCCAGAGGUGUUAACUAAGGAAAAGGAUACAAGAAAAAGAAAAGGCAAAGGAAAAGCUGUUGAAAAAGGAAAAGGCAAAGCUCAGGAACAAGGAAAAGGAAAGGCAUCUAUGGUCGUCGCAAGUCUGGUGGUGUUGAAAUUAGAGAACCAGGUUCUGAGCCACCGCGUCACAGUCUGCAGAUGUUCCGUCUGCUCGACGGUCAAUGUACUCGUCGAAGCAUUGUAUUGGUGAACGCGAUGUUGGCAUUGCCAGUAUCAUUAGUUGUGUUCCGGGAUUUCAGGAUUUAUUUGAAAAAGAAAAUCUUCAUCAGAUUUGUGAUUUUCCGGAACAAACUGGUUUCUGUUUGGAGCUGAUCCGAGAAUUCUAUAUGAGAGCAGUUCACUUGAGUGAUUCCGAUGGCGGCCCGUACGUCUUUACUACUUCUGUACGUGGUGUUGAGUUAUCAAUCACUCCCGAUACGAUAGCGUCUGUGCUAGAAAUGGAAGCAAGGACUGACGGAGUGGAGUAUCUGCAGGCUGGGUUCGACUCACUUCGCGAUUGGAACCGUGUCGUGAACACUAUUUGCAUGCCGGGUACUGAAUCAAACGGCAUUAUGGUUAUGUCCAAAGAUUUCAAAAUGGAGUACAGGUUUUUGAACUUCGUGGUUUGCUACAACAUUUUGCCUCUUGCAAACACGAAAAUUUUGAGAUGGGAUCGUAUCCUGUACAUGUAUCUCUUGGGUAGGCCGGAUAUUAUAAGUGCCAAAAAUAUUAACAUGAAUAUUCCGUUUCUGAUCUGGCGGAGAAUGGCAAAGGACAUCAAGACUUUAGGACAAAAUGAAAGGNAGGACAUUUGUGAAGUCCUCGGUGCAGCUUCGUACCCCGUCUCAGCGCGCUUCUUCCCCUCCUGUUGCUCCACCUCCUGCUACUGCUACUUCUUCUCGUCCUUCUAUGGACAUUUCCAAGGAAGAUAUCUCAGUUUCCUCUGUGUAUCGUGAGCAACAACGUUUAUCUGAAGAGCUUCAGAAACUGUCUGCGGAGCAAGCUGCGAUACGGAAGGAUGUGAACAAGAUGAAGCGAUUAUUAAAUAUGAUUUUUGACAAGUUAGGGUGUUGCUGAGCAGAUUUACCUCCAGGGGAUGCUUCAGAUUAGAUGUUGCGGGGUUCCUCCUUUCGUCAUUUUGGCGCUUUCUGACAAAAAGGGGGAGAUGAUGGCUCUUGAUGAUGAUGACGCAUGCAUUUAGCUUAGAAGAUGCACUUUGUUUAGUUGUGUUAGAGCAUGCAUUUAGCUUAGAUGAUGCACUUUGUUUAGUUGUGUUAGUUGUGUAAAUUUAGAUUUGAUGUUGGCUUAGGUGCUUGACUAUGAACUAUGUCACGCCCCGGGACUGAUACCAAUUUGGGCCGGCCCGAGCUCGUCGAACAGACGCUGAACGGACAGAGUUUCCCCUAUCCGCCCAAGGCUCAUCACAUGUACAUUUUCAAUAAGAAGUGCACUAGCGGAAAUAUACAAAAACGGCUUACACGAGGGUAAGCAAUAGCCAUUAGUGAAAGAAGGGAAAACUAAACAUUUACAAGUACUAUGAUUCAUUUUAGAUCAUAUACAUUGUAUCUAUCCAACUUGUACAUCCAAAUUCUUUACAUUCUUUCAUCAUUUCUUUUACAUCACAUUUACCUUAAAAUGAGCAUUACAUUCUUUUCUUUACUUUGCUUUAUACAUCAACAUCUUAAAUCAUCAAAUACAGAAGAUGAUAAAAGGGUAGCUGCUAACAAAAUGUAACCCAACUCCGAUGGCCUCUGACUACGGUGCGAUACCUUUACCGCGGUCGCUCGCCGGCUCGCUCGGUCCCGGCUCUGUGGAAUAGUGGGGUGAGAACUACAACAAGUUCCCAGUGGGUUCGGCCCCAACAUCACCGACUUUCCCACUAGGACUAACUCAGGCAUAAUAGAAAGGAUAAGUAGGAUAUAGUAACCAAUCUAUAACAUGAUGCUAAUAUGCCUGAACAAAUAGCAAGAAAUAUGUUCAACAUUAAAUAUAUGGAGAUUAUGCAAAUUCUUUCGUUCUUUAUCUUUACACUUUGUUCUUUGUUCUUUAUUCUUUGCUCUUUGUUCUUUGUUCUUUAAUCUCAAGGCUAACCCGGGGGUUUCGCCACAUUAGCUUGCUUCACAUUAAGUCCAUCAUCGCAGGAACUCACCAGCUAGGACCGUCCUUCGGGUUUACUCCAACCCGUGAUGCAUAACUCCGGAGUGCAUCGCCCGAGGGGGAGCGACCGCCCUCGAGCACGGAACUCAUAGCAAGUAUGAUCGAAUCCUUAACUCAAAGGAUUAUAAGUUCAAUCUUGACAUUACACUAACUCUAGUGUUCUUUGCAUCACUUUAUGUUGCCACUCUAGCAAUCAUAGUUCUUUACAUUUCUUUUACUUUUGCUAACUCUAGCAAUCACGUUCUUUACAUCUCUUUUACUUUAGGCUAUCUUUAGCUUUCACAUUCUUUAACUUUACACAUUCUUUAUUCUUUAUACGUUCUUUAUUGCUCUCUUUGCUUUAGCUUUAGUCAUCGUCAUCAUUCUUUACAUCACUUUGAUUCUUUGCUUCACACUAACUCUAGUGUCACUUUACUUUACAUUAUUAGAUGCCACUCGAUCUAUGUCAUAGUGUCACUCUGUUCUUUUGCCUCACUUGGGUACUCAC